CAGGUGGUGGGGUUUGGUGUGGCUUUGCUCAGCCGGGAGCUCCAAACCUGCAGCUCCGGAGUGGCUUUUGCCAUUAGAAGAAGAUCCGGUGACUACAACUGCUCCUCCAGUUCGGUUUCUCCCUACGGAAGCGCUCACAGUGCUGAGCUUGCCGGAUUUCGAGAAGCAUCUGUUAAACGGGCUGCCACCCGCAUCACACCCGGCGAAGCUCUGGGGCUGCAGCCGCGAUGUUCGGUCCUGGCAGAGUGCUGAACAUGCUGUGGGUCCAGGUGAGCUCCCUCCCAGUGGGAGCAUCCAAUGAAGGCUGCAGCAAAGAGUGGGUGGAAGAGCAGAGCCAGGAGCUGCACGGGCGCAGCAGGUAUGGAGAGGGGUGCUGGGUGUCAGCCAGGAGGGGUGGAAAUGACAAAUAAAACCAUGUAAGAUCUCCUAUGAGCUCUGCAUGAUGUCUCUGGGACAGGAGCCCACUGCUGGAUUUUCCUGGGAGGAGACCCUGCUGCUGCCUUGCUCCAUCCCACCGGGUAAGGCUGUGCUGGGGGUGCCCAAAGCCUCAGGGUGUGCAGGACUGGGGACGCAGGGAGGUGAUGGGGACGUUCCCAGGCUCUUCCAACUCCGGAUAUAAACCAGGAGGAGGGGAAGAGGAAGGCUUUGCUCAGCUGCCAGCAGAGGGGAAGCAGGUGGGGAUGUGGUGUUCGAUGGGUGUCGAAAGCAUCACGGUGCGGUGUCAGCCCUGGGGACGGACAAACAGAUCCCACAGCACCAGGAGCUUGGGGUCAGAGAGCCAAAGUGACACCAAAGUGACAGCCUGAGACACCAACGCCUGCGGGGCCGGGGGCGGCAGCAGCAGCAGCUGCAUCAAUCCUUCCUUCAGAACGCUUCAUUUCUAUCCCCAGCGUCGCUCCUUUUCAUUUUGCAUGUGUCAGCAGCAGCCAGCGGGGCCGCUCUGCUGUCACAUCCCCAUGCACCGUCCCUGCACACAUCGAGCAGACGGAGACGUUUUAAUUAACCAAAUCACAGCGUCGCGUCUCGGUGCCGGAUUGAAGAGGCAGCGCUGGGAGCGAGCGGCUGCUUCCCUGCUGCUGCGCCCAGAAAGGCCCCACGUCCCCAAUGGGAGGCUGAAAGUGACACAGAUGGGGUUGGGUUUUUUUGCCCCUUGAGUCAUUUUCUAUUUGAUUGAGGGAGGAGAUGCGUGG
Molecule: long non-coding RNA, 1190 nt
Organism: Gallus gallus (chicken)
Lineage: Eukaryota; Metazoa; Chordata; Aves; Galliformes; Phasianidae
Source: Ensembl